Molecule: ribosomal RNA, 492 nt
Filed under: uncultured bacterium
Lineage: Bacteria
Description: partial 16S ribosomal RNA
Rfam family: Bacterial small subunit ribosomal RNA
Source: RNAcentral
AGUGAACGCUGGCGGUAGGCCUAACACAUGCAAGUCGAACGGCAGCACAGUAAGAGCUUGCUCUUACGGGUGGCGAGUGGCGGACGGGUGAGGAAUACAUCGGAAUCUACUUUUUCGGGGGGGAUAACGUAGGGAAACUUACGCUAAUACCGCAUACGACCUACGGGUGAAAGCAGUGGAUCUUCGGACCUUGCGCGAUUCAAUGAGCCGAUGUCGGAUUAGCUAGUUGGCGGGGUAAAGGCCCACCAAGGCGACGAUCCGUAGCUGGGCUGAGAGGAUGAUCAGCCACACUGGAACUGAGACACGGUCCAGACUCCUACGGGAGGCAGCAGUGGGGAAUAUUGGACAAUGGGCGAAAGCCUGAUCCAGCAAUACCGCGUGGGUGAAGAAGGCCUUCGGGUUGUAAAGCCCUUUUGUUGGGAAAGAAAAGCAGCAGGUGAAUACCCCGCUGUUCUGACGGUACCCAAAGAAUAAGCACCGGCUAACUUCGUG